This 974-nucleotide long non-coding RNA is filed under the name Cricetulus griseus (Chinese hamster). RNAcentral's name for it is "lncRNA (ENSCGRG00015034397.1)". The record is from RNAcentral. Lineage: Eukaryota; Metazoa; Chordata; Mammalia; Rodentia; Cricetidae.
GGAUCAGGGUGAUGUCUUGGUCGGAUGUAAUCUCUGGGAUUCUUUAUCAAACUGAAAAGAAAUGUCUUUCUAGCCAGGAAAACUCUAAAGUGUACUCUGCCAGGGGAAUCCUCAUUUGAGUUAAAUCUUGGGCAAUGAUGGAUUGGAAUUAAAGCAAUAGUUUUGCUUUGGUCAAAGUGUGAGUCCCAAGAUGCACAAACAAUAAACCCAAUAGUGUCAGGUGGCGUUCUGUGCAGAACAGAGAAAACAUUCCAGAGUUUUCCCUGGAGUUUCACUAAAUGUUCCUGAGAGGGCAAUACCACUAUUCAGUAUGCCUUCAUUCCUUAGUUAAAAACACAUGGGGUAAGAAUUUUGAGCAAAGCUUCUGGUGACAGAAUAUGUAGCAAUGAGAGAGGGUGAAUGGAAGUAAAAAUAUUCAGUUUAAGUGGAGUUUUGUCUUUAGUUGGGUCUAAGCCUGUGUGUAGACUUUCUUUCCUAUGUGUCCUAUAAAAUGGCCCUGGCUGAGACGUUUGUUUGUUUUUGGUAAUGAUUAAAAAUAGUAAUGCAUCUGAAAAAUACCUUGGAAGUGGUAAGAAGGAAGAGACUCCAGCUUCUCUUCUGCCAUCCUCUCAUCACUGGACUAAUUCAAUGUGACAAACUUCCUGAGGAUGCCCACUUUGAACAAGGACAGAUGUACCAAUGUCCAAUAUUCCCAUCCCUCCAGCAAGAACUGAAGGAUUUCUUAUGGGUACUUCACUGUCAGGCUACUAAUGACAUCAGCCACAAUCUGGUGAGACAGUAUUGGACACUAUGCAUGUAUUCUUAACCAAAUGAUCUGCAAAAAAGAAACGAUGAUUCAUUUUUUUUACAUAUGGAUCGGGAUGUAAUGAGACUAUGAAGGCAAUUUCCUUCUGGUACAGCACAGACUUUCCUUCUCCUAGAUUUCAAAUAUUUCUCCAUCAAGAGUCCUUCUUUUUCACUGCCUGCUAUUUAAA